Molecule: ribosomal RNA, 216 nt
Filed under: uncultured bacterium
Lineage: Bacteria
Description: partial 16S ribosomal RNA
Rfam family: Bacterial small subunit ribosomal RNA
Source: RNAcentral
UACUCAGUUCGGAUUGUAGGCUGCAACCCGCCUGCAUGAAGUCGGAAUUGCUAGUAAUCGUAGAUCAGCAUGCUACGGUGAAUACGUUCCCGGGCCUUGUACACACCGCCCGUCAAACCAUGAGAGUUGGCAACACCCGAAGCCUGUAGCUUAACCGCAAGGACGGCGCAGUCGAAGGUGGAGUCGAUGAUUAGGGUUAAGUCGUAACAAGGUACC